GGGGGAAGUAAUACUAAUUAAAUAUGAUCAUCUCUUCUAAGCUUGUUUAACAAAGCUGUGAUUAAGGCAUCUCUUUUCUCAGCCCUAACUUCUUCUCUCAUUCUCCUUUGUUCUUCUCUUUCUCGCCAUCUUCUUUCCAACAUUAUCCUCUCAUGUUCUAAAGCUUCCAUGUUUCUUCUCCAUUCCAUUUCCCUCAUUUGUCUCUCUUUUUCCCUUGCCUCAAAUGCCUCCCUCCAUUGCACCUCCAUUUGCAUUUGUUGAUUCAUAAAAUCUUCCAACAUUUCUUUCAAAUCAUUGAUACUACUCUUUCCACUGCCCUCGCCGCCUCCCGUCGUCGUACCGCCCAUUCCUUUAACUUUUUUCCUCUUCCUACCGCUAACUUUUGCCUCGCCUCCAUCGCCAUCGCUAUCGUCGUUUUCUUCGUCAUCGUCAGACGAUAAUGGUAACGUCUUCUUCUUCGACCCGCUACCGCCGCUCUCCGCCUCUGCCCAUAAUAUUCUUUGCAUUCUUGCCCCAAAUAUUGCUUGUAACUCUGUGUAGAAUGGAAAUUGCUGCCUUGAAAUUUCUGGCUCCAUUGUUUCACAACCCUUGUAACGAGUAACGAGGUUUUUCCAUUUACAUUUACACUGUUCAGCGCUGCGAUUAAAACCCUUUUCCUUCAUUUUGGAGGCAGUAAUUUCCCACAAGAGCUUGUUUCGUUUGGUUUCCAUGAAGGUUUGAUCCAGCUCGGCUCUGAUCGUCAAAAACUCCUUUGUUUCUUGAAUACUCCAUUGAGGGAAUCUGUCGGCGGCUGUUGCUGUGGUUUGAUCGGCGGAGACGGCGAGGCUCUGGUGGAGAUGCGGCGGUGGGGGAGGAAGUUGAAUUUGUUGCUGCUGGUGGAGCUGAAUAAGGGGAUGGGGAUGAGGAUGAGGAUGAGGAUUAUGGCCU
RNAcentral lists this unclassified non-coding RNA (927 nucleotides) under Hevea brasiliensis (rubber tree). The record is from RNAcentral. Lineage: Eukaryota; Viridiplantae; Streptophyta; Magnoliopsida; Malpighiales; Euphorbiaceae.